UUACAAACUUAAACAGUGUAUAAUUUAGUUUGUAUUAGGCUUGUUGGACGUGCGGGAGCCUUUGUGGAAGUGAAUGACGAAAUGAGAACAGGCUGCACCUCGAUUCCUGAUCUCUGACACAGCAAACAACCGGCCUGCUGUCACGUCCUAGCUGCUAUUAAAGCCCGAGACCGCGUGUACAGCCUCAUUCGUCCUCGGUACAUUUCAUUAGCUUGUCCCGACACAGCGUGGCUUAUCGACAAGAAUAAGAUGACCAAGCUUCUAUUAGUAUUGUUUUACCUAUCAAUCUUGAGUUACGUGACGUCAAAGCCCACCGAGAAGGAUGUAGGCUGCGGCGACCGCGACACCGCAACCAAGUGUUAUUACUGCAGCUCCCACUACGACAGACCGGAGCUCUACACUGAAUGUUGCACAAACCUGGAGUUUCAGAACCAUUGUAAAGUGGAAAUAUGGGUGGAACUUAAACGAGAGAGUAUGUGGUGAUUCUGAGCCAGGAUCGUAAACCCCGUUUAGAAGCAUCGGCCAAGACGGAACCAAGUGCUAGGAACGAUAACUCUUACGAUGUAAAACAGCCCCGGAUGUACCAUGGGGAACCUGAUGGCUUGUGUGCGUUGUGAUACAGUGUUUGGCUUUGACUUAUCUCCAAAGACUGCCAUUAAAAAGCAAUUACUACGGACAAACAACAUGCUUGAGACCGAGCGAGCUGCAUGAUCAAAAACUUGAAUUAAAUAUUUAAAUUAACAAGAGACCUUUUGAAAGUAGUUCAAGGAUGUGAAACUUUAUUGUGAGCGCAUUUCUUGGUUCGGCUUGUCAUCGUCUAAUAUCACAAUAAGCACUCAUUAAUUUAUCUCGGUUGUGAAAUGAUUUUAAGUGUUUCUCGAGUGAUAACAGAGUUUCGUUUCGGAAGGAAUGUCGUUUAGGGCAGUUAGGUCAUCCUACAACUUCAAAUGAAAUUUGUAUGGUGCAAUGUGUGACAUCACGUGCGGUAUGUGCAAGUGUAGGUCAUCACGUGCUGAAUGUGCAUGUGAUGAAGUGGAUGACGAUGAAGUCAUUCACAGGUGCCCGUGAUGCGGGGAAAGACAUUCCAGGGGAUGAGGAUCCUGGGGAUGAAACCACCUGGGAUGCUGGCAGCAUGAACAGUUCCUGACCAUCUAAUGUCUAUAGUUUUAUUUUGGCCCUGGAUUCGGCCGUCUUGGUUACUGUUUCGUUCGUUUAUAUUUGCUCGUUUAUUUAUUUCCCUAAAUGUUAUUUAUUUAUUGAGAGUUUAUUUAUUAUACAACAUGUGAAAUAAAUUUUUUUACAUUGUA
Haliotis rubra (blacklip abalone) is the source of this 1307-nucleotide long non-coding RNA. RefSeq lists it as uncharacterized. The transcript has 3 exons. The record is from RefSeq and is a predicted model, not a curated record. Lineage: Eukaryota; Metazoa; Mollusca; Gastropoda; Lepetellida; Haliotidae.